UCUUGUUCUUUAUCUUUUUCACAACAUAUUUAUUCUCUCAUUUAUAUAGAUUAUUCAUUAAGAUAGCAUCAAAUCCUUGACGAUAUUUGGUGGCUAAAGACCAUUCACAUCAGAAUUUUUGGAGAGAAGCCUUUCUUAACAGAAUUGCAUCGUAUAUUUUUGGGUGGGACAGUUAUUUAAAUAUUGAGUCACCCAAAUUAUAUCACCAUUGCUAUACCGAUGCUUCUGCUUCUUAAACUUGCUGCCAUCAUGCAAUUAACUGCUUGCUUUUCUUGUGUUUUCUUAAUAAAGUCGAAUUACCUAGCAAAUAAAACAGAGAUUCAGGAUCUAUUCUAAUUCUUAUACCGACUUUUUCUCCCCUUAGAUAACAUUAGAGUUAUUUCUAGUAAUAAUUAUUUCUGGAAAAGUACUCGACAAAUAGCAGGACUUUCAACAGAAUAACAAUUGCAAGAAUGAUGAUUUUUAUUUCAAACUGGGGGGGAAAGCUUAAACAGCCAGUGGUUAUUAUUUUCCAUCCAUUAGUUAAUGAGAGGAAUGAGAAGCAGAACAGAAUGUUGGAGGCUUAGCCCAUAAUUCGCUUAAUUGCUUCAUACUUAUUGUAAUUUGACAAAAUUUAUCUUUAAAAAUAGCAAGUUAUGAUCCGAUUUGUCAGGU
RNAcentral lists this long non-coding RNA (654 nucleotides) under Elaeis guineensis (African oil palm). RNAcentral describes it as "long non-coding RNA (EGUI_LNC006651)". The record is from RNAcentral. Lineage: Eukaryota; Viridiplantae; Streptophyta; Magnoliopsida; Arecales; Arecaceae.